This 506-nucleotide ribosomal RNA is filed under the name uncultured bacterium. RNAcentral's name for it is "bacterial SSU rRNA". It matches the Rfam family "Bacterial small subunit ribosomal RNA", at positions 773 to 1275 of the family's 1533-position model. The record is from RNAcentral.
AGUGAAUAGAUACCCCGGUAGUCCACGCUGUAAACGAUGAAUGCUAGGUGUAGGUGGGGAUACUCAUCUGUGCCGCAGUUAACACAAUAAGCAUUCCACCUGGGGAGUACGGCCGCAAGGUUGAAACUCAAAGGAAUUGACGGGAGCCCGCACAAGCAGUGGAGUAUGUGGCUUAAUUCGACGCAACGCGAAGAACCUUACCGGAACUUGACAUCCUGAGAAGUCGGCUGUAAUGGCUGAUGUGCCCUUCGGGGAGCUUAGAGACAGGUGGUGCAUGGUUGUCGUCAGCUCGUGUCGUGAGAUGUUUGGGUUUAAGUCCCGCAACGAGCGCAACCCUUACGGUUAGUUGCUACGAAAGAGCACUCUAGCCGGACUGCCGUUGACAAAACCGGAGGAAGGCGGGGUACGACGUCAAAUCAUCAUGCCCCUUACGUUUCGGGCUACACACGUACUACAAUGGCGCAAACCAAACGGGGUAAGCGAGAUCGCGAGAUGGAGCAAACCCC